GGUAGAUUGGGCUUUUAGAGACCCAUUUGAUUAAGCCCAAACCAAACAAGAGAUACUCUUUUGCACCAUAAAGGCCUUCCCCUGUAGUUGUACUCAGCUGAACCUCCACCAAGUACCAGACUUGCUUGAGUUUCGCACCCGAGAGUUGAGAAAUCACUUGUAAUCAGCUGCAUCAAUUAUCAUUCGCAUUGCAGGCAUUUGGGAUUCUCAUUCUAUAAAAAGUAAAAACAAUAAAACUGUGUUUGUUUGUUAGUGUUUUAACAAAAUGCCAAGUGAGAAAAGCCCCGGCUUGAAAAUCCUCUGGGUCUGGACCCUCGGCACCGCCGCUAUACUUGUUACGAGUGUGGUGCGGACAAGACUGAGGGACAUGGAGUCUGUCAUGAACGGACAACAACAACAGGAACCCAUUUCCUCUGAUGUGCUUCUGGUGGACACGGACACGGUGCCGGGGUCUGAGGAUGUUGUGCGAGAAGAAAGAUCAUAGGUUUCGAUCAAACACCCCCCUUUUAUUUUUGUUUAUUUAUUGGAAUUUAAGGUUUUGUUUGUGUUUCAUGGGGAUUUGGUGGGUUUAGAAAAGUAUGCGCACUAUGUGUUUACUGAAUGUUCUAAAUGAAAAUGUAAAAUCCCAUUUUGGGUUUGUUUA
Long non-coding RNA from Quercus robur (English oak), 643 nucleotides. RefSeq lists it as uncharacterized. Lineage: Eukaryota; Viridiplantae; Streptophyta; Magnoliopsida; Fagales; Fagaceae. The transcript has 2 exons. The record is from RefSeq and is a predicted model, not a curated record.